GACGAACGCUGGCGGCGUGCUUAACACAUGCAAGUCGAACGGAGUGGCGAACGGGUGAGUAACACGUGGGUGACCUGCCCUGCACUUCGGGAUAAGCCUGGGAAACUGGGUCUAAUACCGGAUAGUGUGGGAUGGGCCCGCGGCUGAUCAGCUUGUUGGUGGGGUAAUGGCCUACCAAGGCGGGGCCGGGUAGCCGGCCUGGGAGGGUGGACGGCCACAGUGGGACUGAGACACGGACCAGACGGCUACGGGAGGCAGCAGGGGGGAAUAUUGUGCAAGGGGAGGAAGUCUGAUGCAGAGACGCCGCGUGGGGGAUGACGGCCUGCGGGGUGUAAACUCCUUUAACCAUAGACGCGGUAGAUGGAGAAGAAGCACCGGCUAACUACGUGCCAGCAGCCGCGGUAAUUC
This 408-nucleotide ribosomal RNA is filed under the name uncultured bacterium. RNAcentral describes it as "partial 16S ribosomal RNA". It matches the Rfam family "Bacterial small subunit ribosomal RNA", at positions 28 to 526 of the family's 1533-position model. The record is from RNAcentral.